This 465-nucleotide ribosomal RNA is filed under the name Vreelandella stevensii. RNAcentral's name for it is "partial 16S ribosomal RNA". It matches the Rfam family "Bacterial small subunit ribosomal RNA", at positions 338 to 795 of the family's 1533-position model. Lineage: Bacteria; Pseudomonadati; Pseudomonadota; Gammaproteobacteria; Oceanospirillales; Halomonadaceae. The record is from RNAcentral.
CCUACGGGGUGCAGCAGUGGGGAAUAUUGGACAAUGGGCGAAAGCCUGAUCCAGCCAUGCCGCGUGUGUGAAGAAGGCCUUCGGGUUGUAAAGCACUUUCAGUGGGGAAGAAAGCCUUGGGGCUAAUACCCUCGAGGAAGGACAUCACCCACAGAAGAAGCACCGGCUAACUCCGUGCCAGCAGCCGCGGUAAUACGGAGGGUGCGAGCGUUAAUCGGAAUUACUGGGCGUAAAGCGCGCGUAGGCGGUCUGAUAAGCCGGUUGUGAAAGCCCCGGGCUCAACCUGGGAACGGCAUCCGGAACUGUCAGGCUAGAGGGCAGGAGAGGAAGGUAGAAUUCCCGGUGUAGCGGUGAAAUGCGUAGAGAUCGGGAGGAAUACCAGUGGCGAAGGCGGCCUUCUGGACUGACACUGACGCUGAGGUGCGAAAGCGUGGGUAGCAAACAGGAUUAGAUACCCCAGUAGUC